This 800-nucleotide ribosomal RNA is filed under the name Limosilactobacillus fermentum. RNAcentral's name for it is "bacterial SSU rRNA". It matches the Rfam family "Bacterial small subunit ribosomal RNA", at positions 23 to 781 of the family's 1533-position model. The record is from RNAcentral. Lineage: Bacteria; Bacillati; Bacillota; Bacilli; Lactobacillales; Lactobacillaceae.
CUCAGGAUGAACGCCGGCGGUGUGCUAAUACAUGCAAGUCGAACGCGUUGGCCCAAUUGAUUGAUGGUGCUUGCACUGAUUGAUUUUGGUCGCCAACGAGUGGCGGACGGGUGAGUAACACGUAGGUAACCUGCCCAGAAGCGGGGGACAACAUUUGGAAACAGAUGCUAAUACCGCAUAACAACGUUGUUCGCAUGAACAACGCUUAAAAGAUGGCUUCUCGCUAUCACUUCUGGAUGGACCUGCGGUGCAUUAGCUUGUUGGUGGGGUAACGGCCUACCAAGGCGAUGAUGCAUAGCCGAGUUGAGAGACUGAUCGGCCACAAUGGGACUGAGACACGGCCCAUACUCCUACGGGAGGCAGCAGUAGGGAAUCUUCCACAAUGGGCGCAAGCCUGAUGGAGCAACACCGCGUGAGUGAAGAAGGGUUUCGGCUCGUAAAGCUCUGUUGUUAAAGAAGAACACGUAUGAGAGUAACUGUUCAUACGUUGACGGUAUUUAACCAGAAAGUCACGGCUAACUACGUGCCAGCAGCCGCGGUAAUACGUAGGUGGCAAGCGUUAUCCGGAUUUAUUGGGCGUAAAGAGAGUGCAGGCGGUUUUCUAAGUCUGAUGUGAAAGCCUUCGGCUUAACCGGAGAAGUGCAUCGGAACCUGGAUAACUAGAGUACCGAAGUGGGUAGUGGUCCUCCAUCUGUAGCGGUGGAAAACGUAGCUAUAUUGAAGUACACCAGUGGGGAAGCCGGAUCCCGGGUCUGCAUCUGCCCCUGAGCCUCGAAAGCAUGGGUAGAGACCAGGAUUAG